This 326-nucleotide ribosomal RNA is filed under the name uncultured Shigella sp. RNAcentral describes it as "bacterial SSU rRNA". It matches the Rfam family "Bacterial small subunit ribosomal RNA", at positions 11 to 333 of the family's 1533-position model. The record is from RNAcentral. Lineage: Bacteria; Pseudomonadati; Pseudomonadota; Gammaproteobacteria; Enterobacterales; Enterobacteriaceae.
GUUUGAUCCUGGCUCAGAUUGAACGCUGGCGGCAGGCCUAACACAUGCAAGUCGAACGGUAACAGGAAGCAGCUUGCUGCUUCGCUGACGAGUGGCGGACGGGUGAGUAAUGUCUGGGAAACUGCCUGAUGGAGGGGGAUAACUACUGGAAACGGUAGCUAAUACCGCAUAACGUCGCAAGACCAAAGAGGGGGACCUUAGGGCCUCUUGCCAUCGGAUGUGCCCAGAUGGGAUUAGCUAGUAGGUGGGGUAACGGCUCACCUAGGCGACGAUCCCUAGCUGGUCUGAGAGGAUGACCAGCCACACUGGAACUGAGACACGGUCCA